GUCUUUUUGAUAAUGAUUUAAAGUCUAACCUGCCCUAUGAGAAAUUAAAUGGCCGCGGUAUUUUGACCGUGCAAAGGUAGCAUAAUAAUUAGUUUUUUAAUUGAAAGCUGGAAUGAAUGGUUGGACGAGAAAAUUUCUGUCUCAGUUUAAUUUUAAAUGAAUUUUAUUUUUAAGUAAAAAAGCUUAGAUUUUUUUAAAAGACGAGAAGACCCUAUAGAGUUUUAUAAUUUUAUUAUUAAAAAUUUUUUAGUAUUUUUAUAUUUUUAUUUGUAAAAUUAUUUUGUUGGGGUGAUGGAAAAAUUUAAUAAACUUUUUUUAUAUUUUAUCAUUGAUUUAUGUUUUUUUGAUCCAAUUUUUUUGAUUAUAAGAUUUAAUUACCUUAGGGAUAACAGCGUAAUUUUUUUUUAGAGUUCUUAUCGAAAGAAAAGUUUGCGACCUCGAUGUUGGAUUAAAAUUAAUGUUUGGUGUAGGGGCUAAAUGGUUAGGUCUGUUCGACCUUUAAAAUUUUACA
This 511-nucleotide ribosomal RNA is filed under the name Pachypus sp. ZFMK COL DA4102. Its description in RNAcentral is "partial 16S ribosomal RNA". The stretch from base 385 to 511 matches the Rfam family "Bacterial large subunit ribosomal RNA", at positions 2473 to 2600 of the family's 2925-position model. Lineage: Eukaryota; Metazoa; Arthropoda; Insecta; Coleoptera; Scarabaeidae. The record is from RNAcentral.